AACGCUAGCUACAGGCUUAACACAUGCAAGUCGAGGGGCAGCAUGAAUUUACUUCGGUAGAUUUGAUGGCGACCGGCGCACGGGUGCGUAACGCGUAUCCAACCUUCCCGUUACUCCGGGAUAGCCUUCCGAAAGGGAGAUUAAUACCGGAUGGUGUUCAAGUGGUGCAUAUUAUUUGAACUAAAGAUUUAUCGGUAACGGAUGGGGAUGCGUACCAUUAGAUAGUAGGCGGGGUAACGGCCCACCUAGUCUACGAUGGUUAGGGGUUCUGAGAGGAAGGUCCCCCACACUGGAACUGAGACACGGUCCAGACUCCUACGGGAGGCAGCAGUGAGGAAUAUUGGUCAAUGGCCGGGAGGCUGAACCAGCCAAGUAGCGUGAAGGAUGAAGGUUCUAUGGAUUGUAAACUUCUUUUAUACGGGAAUAGCACCAUCUACGUGUAGAUGUCUGCAUGUACCGUAUGAAUAAGCAUCGGCUAACUCCGUGCCAGCAGCCGCGGUAAUACGGAGGAUGCGAGCGUUAUCCGGAUUUAUUGGGUUUAAAGGGAGCGUAGACGGGAUGUUAAGUCAGUUGUGAAAUGCUGUGGCUCAACCAUAGCACUGCAGUUGAUACUGGCGUUCUUGAGUGCGUAUGAGGUAUGUGGAAUUCGUGGUGUAGCGGUGAAAUGCUUAGAUAUCACGAAGAACUCCGAUUG
This 694-nucleotide ribosomal RNA is filed under the name uncultured Bacteroidales bacterium. RNAcentral's name for it is "bacterial SSU rRNA". It matches the Rfam family "Bacterial small subunit ribosomal RNA", at positions 32 to 715 of the family's 1533-position model. The record is from RNAcentral. Lineage: Bacteria; Pseudomonadati; Bacteroidota; Bacteroidia; Bacteroidales.